RNAcentral lists this ribosomal RNA (235 nucleotides) under uncultured bacterium. RNAcentral describes it as "partial 16S ribosomal RNA". The record is from RNAcentral.
CUGCUGCCUUCCGUAGGAGUCUGGGCCGUGUCUCAGUCCCAAUGUGGCCGGCCAACCUCUCAGUCCGGCUACUGAUCGUCGCCUUGGUGGGCCGUUGCCCCGCCAACUAGCUAAUCAGACGCGAGUCCAUCUCAGAGCGAUAAAUCUUUGGCAGUCAGAGCCAUGCGACCCAACUGCAUUAUGCGGUAUUAGCAGCUGUUUCCAGCUGUUAUUCCCCACUCCAAGGCAGGUUACU